AGGGACAGGAGCACACACCAUGAUUUCACACAUCCAGCUGAUCUGGCCCCUGGCAUUCUGUGUCGCAGGCCGUGAUAACUCUCAGCCCAAGCUGACCCUGCUGCCCCCCUCCCCGGAGCAGGUCAAUGUUAAGGGCACUGUUACCCUGGUGUGCCUUGCCAAUCACUUCUAUCCCGAUGAGCUGGAGGUGCAGUGGAAGAAGGACGGUGCAGUCAUUUCGGACGGGGUUCAGACCAGCAACUACCUGCGAGCUUCGGACAGCACCUACAGUGUCAACAGCCUGCUGACCCUCUCUGGGUCUGACUGGGAGUCCAAUGCUCGCUUCUCCUGUGCCCUCACCCACAUGACCCUCCCUUCUCCCCUCAGCAAGAGCAUCAGGAGAUCAGAAUGUGUGUAAAUGUUGGAGACAGUCCACAACUUUAAAUAGGACAGGGCUGAGCUGGCAGGACAAAGGUUAUUGUCAGCACUGAAUUUCAAUUCUCUUCCUUCUUGAGAAUGGUUCAGAGACACUUCUGAGGUUCAAGGGUUAAGGCAGGUCUUUGGGAUCAUCAAAAACAAGCUUUACUCUGUAUCAAACCCCAUGCUGAGCCUGUUUUAGGAGUGUUGAUUGGGCAGUGAAGACUAGUGAUGCCAAGUAAAACCUCUCGAAGAUGCGGAAAACUGUCAGCUGUACAAAACAAUGUGAACCUCAGAAGUCUCUGCUUCAGUAAACCAGAUCUCCUUCCUGCUCAGCUACCAGUUCCAAUUUAAGCUUCUGUCACUGGUUAAAGGGACAGGAUUCUUAUGUUAUUGAGAAAACCUCCACAAGUGUUUUCCUUAAGCUCCAUUGUGGCUGUGAAUUUGUGCAGCUUCCUCUG
Non-coding RNA from Hemiscyllium ocellatum (epaulette shark), 857 nucleotides. The record is from the annotation of a RefSeq genome assembly. NCBI's taxonomy places the organism in Eukaryota, Metazoa, Chordata, Chondrichthyes, Orectolobiformes, Hemiscylliidae.